Molecule: microRNA precursor, 87 nt
Filed under: Mesocestoides corti
Lineage: Eukaryota; Metazoa; Platyhelminthes; Cestoda; Cyclophyllidea; Mesocestoididae
Description: microRNA mco-mir-36b precursor
Gene: mco-mir-36b
Source: miRBase by way of RNAcentral
GGGUAAUUGCCAUCCGGUCAGUGUCAACUGAGGGACUUGUGUUUGCCCUUGGUUCCAUUUUGACAUCACCGGGUAGCGAUUACGCUU